CUACGGGACGCAGCAGUGAGGAAUAUUGCGCAAUGGGGGGAACCCUGAUGCAGCAACGCCGCGUGGAGGAUGACGCAUUUCGGUGUGUAAACUCCUUUUAUAUGUCAAGAAAAUGACGGUAGCAUAUGAAUAAGCACCGGCUAACUCCGUGCCAGCAGCCGCGGUAAUACGGAGGGUGCAAGCGUUACUCGGAAUCACUGGGCGUAAAGGACGCGUAGGCGGGUUGGAAAGUCAGGUGUGAAAUCCUACAGCUUAACUGUAGAACUGCACUGGAAACUUCUAAUCUAGAGUAUGGGAGGGGGAGAUGGAAUUCGUGGUGUAGGGGUAAAAUCCGUAGAUAUCACUAGGAAUACCUAAAGCGAAGGCGAUCUCCUGGAACAUUACUGACGCUAAGGCGUGAAAGCGUGGGGAGCAAACAGGAUUAGAUACCCCAGUAGUC
This 439-nucleotide ribosomal RNA is filed under the name uncultured bacterium. Its description in RNAcentral is "partial 16S ribosomal RNA". It matches the Rfam family "Bacterial small subunit ribosomal RNA", at positions 339 to 795 of the family's 1533-position model. The record is from RNAcentral.